GCACUUACCUCAUAGAGAAAACAAGAUCAAAAUGGUGGGUUUCCCAGGGCAAGUGUUAUCCAUUGCACUAUGAAUGUGUUGGCCCCUGUAAUUUUCCCAAAGGCAGGCAGGAAUUUUGAUGGUAAAAUGUGUGGUAGUGUAAGGAUUGCAUUUGUGCUCUGUCUUGUG
Small nuclear RNA from Grammomys surdaster, 168 nucleotides. RefSeq annotates it as U1 spliceosomal RNA. NCBI's taxonomy places the organism in Eukaryota, Metazoa, Chordata, Mammalia, Rodentia, Muridae. The record is from RefSeq and is a predicted model, not a curated record. The transcript has a single exon.